CCGCCCAGACUCCUACGGGAGGCAGCAGUGGGGAAUAUUGCACAAUGGGCGAAAGCCUGAUGCAGCGACGCCGCGUGAGGGAUGACGGCCUUCGGGUUGUAAACCUCUUUCAGCAGGGAAGAAGCGAAAGUGACGGUACCUGCAGAAGAAGCGCCGGCUAACUACCUGCCAGCAGCCGGGGGGGGGGGGGGGGGGCGCAAGCGUUGUCCGGAAUUAUUGGGGCGUAAAGAGCUCGUAGGCGGCUUGUCACGGUCGGUUGUGAAAGCCCGGGGGCUUAACCCCGGGUCUGCAGUCGAUACGGGCAGGCUAGAGUUCGGAAAGGGAGAUCGGAAAUUCCUGGUGUAGCGGUGAAAUGCGCAAAUAUCAGGAGGAACACCGGUGGCGAAGGCGGAUCUCUGGGCCGAUACUGACGCUGAGGAGCGAAAGCUUGGGAGCGAACAGGAUUUGAUACCCUGGUAGUCCACGCCGUAACGGUGGGCACUAGGUGUGGGCAACAUUCCAC
Molecule: ribosomal RNA, 502 nt
Filed under: uncultured Actinomycetes bacterium
Lineage: Bacteria; Bacillati; Actinomycetota; Actinomycetes
Description: uncultured actinobacterium partial 16S ribosomal RNA
Rfam family: Bacterial small subunit ribosomal RNA
Source: RNAcentral